Pipistrellus kuhlii (Kuhl's pipistrelle) is the source of this 129-nucleotide long non-coding RNA. RefSeq lists it as uncharacterized. Lineage: Eukaryota; Metazoa; Chordata; Mammalia; Chiroptera; Vespertilionidae. The record is from RefSeq and is a predicted model, not a curated record. The transcript is spliced from 3 exons.
CUGCUCUAUUUGGUCAAACAUUUAAUUAACUCACCCCUAAUGCCAUGGCAGGGCCAGACCAAAUGAUUCCGAGAGCCUUAUAGGGUCUGCGGGCCGGACAUUCCCCAACCCCUGGUAUAGAGGAGGGAA